Molecule: long non-coding RNA, 999 nt
Filed under: Brassica rapa (field mustard)
Lineage: Eukaryota; Viridiplantae; Streptophyta; Magnoliopsida; Brassicales; Brassicaceae
Description: long non-coding RNA (BRAP_LNC001226)
Source: RNAcentral
AGAAACUAUGAUUAACUAAACAAGCAAAUUCCUUCUUCUGAGAAGUAUAUCAACAAACUCAAACAAAAAAUCUUAUAGAGAUAUUCAGACAGAAAAUACUAAAAAGUGUAAUAAGCUCUCAACAUAGCUUACUCAACUUAAACAAAACUAAAGACAUGACAAUGAAUCCAAACAUUAUCCUCCACUAAAACACAAGCAAUUCUCAUGUGUCACUAAUUCCCAACUAUUAUAAAAAUGCAGUCUAUAUAAAUCGCCCAACCUCUACAGAAAAAAAAAUGAUUAAACAAAUAUAAGUUAAAUUAGCAGAAGCCUCAUUAUAUGAUUCAAUUGGUUUAAAAACUAAGCACCCAAGAAAAAUAUAAAAUAAAUAGUACAAAUAUUGUUGCUUAAUUAAAAUAAAAGAAUCCUCAAUAAAAUUAUGUUAUAUUGCCAGAAUUAAUUUCUUACCAAAAAUCAAAUAAUAAAAAUAUAUGAACAAAACUUCAUUAUAAAUGUUUAAAUUCAGAUUAGUCUCUAAAAUAAAAUUUCAAAUGCCGUUCUUUCUAUAUACUGUCCACACUGUACUUAACAAUAUAAAUAUGUUCUCUAAAUAAAACAUCAACUUUACAUCAUGUUUAAAUUCCAAAUAAAUUAAUUUUGUUACGACCUUUUUAUUCUACUUUUAUUGAAUCGAUUAGUCAAAACCACUAAUGUUAUUCCACUUUGAACUAAGCAACUUGAAAACAAAGUAAUACACUACAAUCGCUAACUACUAUCAAAUAGAUCCGGAAAAUAUCAUUCUCUUUCAACAUAUUUUCAUUUUCAUAUUUUUGAACAUAUUUUCUUUACAAAGACAAUAAAAUGAAUUGUAAAUUCGUGUAAAAAUAAAAUAUAUGAACCCGGCGCGUAGUUUUUUUUUGCGGUUUGAGAAACAAAGUAUUAUACCCUAUAGUGAUAUAAAAUAAGGGAAUCCAAUUUGAAAAAAAAAAUAAAAAAAAUAUAUUAACCAUAUAAUUUAAA